Molecule: ribosomal RNA, 743 nt
Filed under: uncultured Gemmatimonadota bacterium
Lineage: Bacteria; Pseudomonadati; Gemmatimonadota
Description: bacterial SSU rRNA
Rfam family: Bacterial small subunit ribosomal RNA
Source: RNAcentral
AGUCGAGGGAGGCCGGGCCUUCGGGCCCGAGUCGACCGGCGGACGGGUGAGUAACACGUGACCAACCUACCUUCGAGAGGGGGAUAACCUGGGGAAACCCGGGCUAAUACCGCAUGAAGCACUCUGGUCGCAUGACCUAAGUGUGAAAGGGGGCCUCUGCUUGCAAGCUCCCACUCGAAGAGGGGGUCGCGACGUAUCAGCUAGUUGGUAGGGUAACGGCCUACCAAGGCUACGACGCGUAGUGGGUCUGAGAGGACGACCCGCCACAUUGGGACUGAGAUACGGCCCAGACUCCUACGGGAGGCAGCAGUGGGGAAUAUUGCGCAAUGGCCGAAAGGCUGACGCAGCGACGCCGUGUGUGGGAGGAAGCCCUUCGGGGUGUAAACCACUGUCAGGGGGGAAGAAACCAGGGCGGUCGAAUAGGCCGUUCUGCUGACGGUACCUCCAAAGGAAGCGCCGGCUAACUCCGUGCCAGCAGCCGCGGUAAGACGGAGGGCGCAAGCGUUGUUCGGAAUUACUGGGCGUAAAGCGCGGGCAGGCGGCCCGUUAAGUCUGCGGUGAAAUCCCGGGGCUCAACCCCGGAUAUGCCGCGGAUACUGGCGGGCUAAAGGACCGGUAGAGGCGAGUGGAAUUCCUGGUGUAGCGGUGGAAUGCGUAAAUAUCAGGAAGAACACCGGUGGCGAAGGCGGCUCGCUGGGCCGGGUUCUGACGCUCAGCCGCGAAAGCGUGGGGAGCAAACAGGA